AGUGGCGCACGGGUGCGUAACGCGUGGGAAUCUGCCCUUUGCUUCGGAAUAACACAGAGAAAUUUGUGCUAAUACCGGAUAAUGUCGAAAGACCAAAGACUUAUCGGCAAAGGAUGAGCCCGCGUAGGAUUAGGUAGUUGGUGGGGUAAUGGCCUACCAAGCCGACGAUCCUUAGCUGGUCUGAGAGGAUGAUCAGCCACACUGGGACUGAGACACGGCCCAGACUCCUACGGGAGGCAGCAGUGGGGAAUAUUGGACAAUGGGCGAAAGCCUGAUCCAGCAAUGCCGCGUGAGUGAUGAAGGCCUUAGGGUUGUAAAGCUCUUUCACCAGGGAUGAUAAUGACAGUACCUGGAGAAUAAGCUCCGGCUAACUCCGUGCCAGCAGCCGCGGUAAUACGGAGGGAGCUAGCGUUGUUCGGAAUCACUGGGCGUAAAGCGCACGUAGGCGGCUACUCAAGUCAGAGGUGAAAGCCCGGGGCUCAACCCCGGAACUGCCUUUGAAACUAGGUGGCUAGAAUCUUGGAGAGGCGAGUGGAAUUCCGAGUGUAGAGGUGAAAUUCGUAGAUAUUCGGAAGAACACCAGUGGCGAAGGCGACUCGCUGGACAAGUAUUGACGCUGAGGUGCGAAAGCGCGGGGAGCAAACAGGAUUAGAUACCCUGGUAGUCCACGCCGUAAACGAUGAUAACUAGCUGUCCGGGC
This 700-nucleotide ribosomal RNA is filed under the name uncultured bacterium. Its description in RNAcentral is "bacterial SSU rRNA". It matches the Rfam family "Bacterial small subunit ribosomal RNA", at positions 94 to 829 of the family's 1533-position model. The record is from RNAcentral.